GACGAACCGUGCGAACGUUGUUCGGAAUCACUGGGCUUAAAGGGCGCGUAGGCGGACACUCAAGUCGGUGGUGAAAGCCUCCAGCUUAACUGGAGAAGAGCUGUCGAUACUGGGUGUCUCGAGGGGUGUAGGGGUCUGUGGAACUUUGGGUGGAGCGGUGAAAUGCGUAGAGAUCCAAAGGAACGCCGGUGGCGAAAGCGACGGACUGGACACCUUCUGACGCUGAGGCGCGAAAGCCAGGGGAGCAAAC
Molecule: ribosomal RNA, 250 nt
Filed under: uncultured bacterium
Lineage: Bacteria
Description: partial 16S ribosomal RNA
Rfam family: Bacterial small subunit ribosomal RNA
Source: RNAcentral